AGUGAACGCUGGCGGUAGGCCUAACACAUGCAAGUCGGACGGCAGCACAGUAAGAGCUUGCUCUUACGGGUGGCGAGUGGCGGACGGGUGAGGAAUACAUCGGAACCUACUUUUUCGUGGGGGAUAACGUAGGGAAACUUACGCUAAUACCGCAUACGACCUACGGGUGAAAGCAGGGGAUCUUCGGACCUUGCGCGAUUGAAUGAGCCGAUGUCGGAUUAGCUAGUUGGCGGGGUAAAGGCCCACCAAGGCGACGAUCCGUAGCUGGUCUGAGAGGAUGAUCAGCCACACUGGAACUGAGACACGGUCCAGACUCCUACGGGAGGCAGCAGUGGGGAAUAUUGGACAAUGGGCGCAAGCCUGAUCCAGCCAUACCGCGUGGGUGAAGAAGGCCUUCGGGUUGUAAAGCCCUUUUGUUGGGAAAGAAAAGCAGCAGGUUAAUACCCCGCUGUUCUGACGGUACCCAAAGAAUAAGCACCGGCUAACUUCGUG
This 492-nucleotide ribosomal RNA is filed under the name uncultured bacterium. RNAcentral's name for it is "partial 16S ribosomal RNA". It matches the Rfam family "Bacterial small subunit ribosomal RNA", at positions 29 to 507 of the family's 1533-position model. The record is from RNAcentral.